RNAcentral lists this long non-coding RNA (8460 nucleotides) under Homo sapiens (human). Its description in RNAcentral is "HSALNT0053122". Lineage: Eukaryota; Metazoa; Chordata; Mammalia; Primates; Hominidae. The record is from RNAcentral.
UGGCUCUGUAGCCCAUGUCCUUGGCAGCUACCGCUACACUAGGCCUGAGGGAUGAAAGUCACUUCACUUCAUGAGCUCACUCCCUCCGCCCUCCCCCAAGGAAGUGGCCAAGAAACUUCUUUGGGUCAGCCUAUCAGAGUAAUCAGGGCCUGCACUUCCUGAUGGGAUAGACAGGAGGCAGGUCCCUCUCCAAGAGCUCUGGUCACUUCACUUAGAAUACUGUUUACCCCACCCCCAUAAGCCCUUUGAUCUGAACCCCAAGUACAGAGUACAGAGACAGGUGUCAGGAGUUCUUGUAGGAUACAGCAUUGAGUGUCCAGGAUGUCCACUGAAAUGCAAGAGCCAAAUGGCUUGUUUCCCAAGGACACUCGGCCAAGCACAGACCACAAAAGACUUGAAGAAUUAUUAAAGAACCAACUAACCACUGACUGAUCUUGUGACAAGCACCAUGUGACAUUUAUUACACCAUAAAUUCUACCUUCCCUUCUGAGAUUCCAUUGUCUAAUAUGGUAGCCACUAACCAAAUGUUCUGCAGAGCACUGGAAAUGUGGAAAGUUAGAGUUGAGGAUGUUCUGUAAGGCACACACUGGAUUUUGAUGACAGUACAAAAAUGGAAUGCAAAAUGUCUCGUUUUAAUACUGAUCUCAGGCUGAAAUUACUUUGUAUAUAUCAAAUUCAGUGAAAUAUACUUUUUUUUUGAGACGGAGCCUCACUCUGUCACCAGGCUGCAGUGCAGUGACAUGAUCUCGGCUCACUGCAACCUCUACCUCCCGGGUUCAUGCCAUUCCCCUGCCUCAGCCUCUGGCGCAGCUGGGACUACAGGCGUGUGCCACCACACCCAGCUAAUUUUUGUAUUUUUAGUAGAGACGCAUUUCACCACGUUGGCCAGGAUGGUCUCGAUCUCUUGACCUCGUGAUCCUCCCACCUCAGCCUCCCAAAGUGCUGGGAUUACUGGCAUGAGCCACUGUGCCAGGCCAGUAAAAUAUACUAUUGAAGUUCAUUCCAUCUCAUGGAAAGAAUGUGUCCCCCCAAAAUUCAUACAAUGAAGUUCUGACCCCCAGUGUAAUGGUAUUUGGAGACGGGACCUUUGGGAGGUAGUGAGGGUUAGAUUAAGUCAUGAGGGUGGGGCCAUCAGGUAAUGAGAACAGGAUUCACAGUCUUACAAAAAGAGGAAAACACCCCCUUGCCCCACCCCACCCCUGUCAUUUGAGAAUGCAGUAAGAAGGCAGAUAUCUGCAAGCCAGGAAGAGGGUCCUCACCAGAACCCAACCAUGCCAGCACCCUGCACCCUGGGCUCAGACUUAGAGCUUCCAGAACUUUGACAAUAUAAAUUUCUGCUGUUUAAGCCACCAGUCUACAGUAUUUUGUUAUGGCAGCCCCAGCUAAGACACAGCUGUUUCUUCUUCCUUUUAUUAACACGACUACUAGAAAACGUUGUUUUAUAUCUAUCCAUAGUUCAUACACUAUUUCUGUCACACAGCACUCUUCUAGAUGUUCCUUCUAGCAGGCAUUGUGUGCUGCACAGUAUGGGGGUUAUUCCAAACAGCAAGCCAGGAGCUUGAAAUUAAAGGGCAUCCCUGAAGCCAAAGCAACAGGACGGUCAGGUCUGCUCCAAACUGGGCCUGGGGCAGCUCUUUUCACAGUUCUCCACAGGUCAGGGACUGGUUGAUGUGACUACAAGAAAUACCCAGUGACCCCCACCUUCCUCCCAGGGCAGGAAUACAGGUCCUUAUAGUGUGACUCUGACUGCCCCCUGGCAGGGUACACUGCUCAGCACUGCCCAAGCUAGGUGACUGAAGCAGAGGAAAAAGAAAGGACAUACAGUCCUUCCAGGGGUCUGAUGCCGCCCUGCCCUGCCUAAGGAGGGAGGUGUGAGACUGGUGUGAUCCCCAGAUCCCAGGUCUCAAGCUGUCCUGUCUUGGGAGGAAGCUCUCCUAAAGGCCUGGGCUUGGAAGAGCCCCAGCACUUCCAGGGAUCAGGCACCCAGCGGGUCUGGAGGCAGUCAGGUGGGCUGCGGUCUGCCUAUCAAGUCAGCUUGCUGCCGCCCUCCCUCUAGCAGACCAAUGCCUCCCCUUUCACUUUCGAGCACUCCUUCUUGGGGAAAAGGCAUCCCAAGGGAGCGGGGCAAAAAAGAGCAGAAAGUCCAACACGACCACCACUUCGCCUCCAAGAAGCGGCUCCAGGAGAGCUGCAACGCCCUCUUCCAUACGGUACUCAGGUGCCAGCUGGUCUUUGCCCUUCGGUUUCCGGACUCAGGCUGCGCGCGCGCGCGCUACUACCCUACAGAACUCACUCGCUUUCGGUGUAAACUAAGCCUCACGACGACGCACAGGAGAAGGUAGAACCAGGGUGGGAAUGGGACGCAGAUCCCAAAUCCCCACCCCCGCAGCAGCGUGGGGACUCCGGCCCCGCCCCUGCACGCCCGGCCCCGCCCCUCGAGGGUUUCCCAGACUCCAGGCGGCUGCCACCGAGGGCGGCGGGGGACCCGCGCUGCAUGUGUAAUGGGGGCUGGGAACAAAGACGCGCAGGACCCGGCGGCCGGGUACCAGCCGCCCCGACCUUCUCGCCAGAGCUUCAAUGCCCAGCUCCCCACGUUUCCCAGGACUGGCCAGGGGACGUCCCGGCGCGCCCGCCGGGGUUAGGCGCACCCCGGCACCACUGAGAGAGGGAAAUCGGUGCUUGGACCGUAGGAGAAACAAGCUUUCCAGGCGGAACUCCGCUUGUUUACGCCCGCGCCCACAUACCCCCAAACACACAUGCGCUGGCCGAACACCUCCAGCCACACGCCCGCAGCCGCGGGCGAGCUGAGCGCUGGUCACCCACCCCGCCACGUGCCUCCUGGAGGCCCGAAGGAAGAGGGACCUGUUGGGUUUUCCAUCUUACCCACCCCCUCCCCUCCCAAGUGCCCAAACAAAGCGGUCCCGCGAAGCGACCACACUCCGCAUCCCGGGGCCAACGGCAGGGAAAGAGGGAGCAGGUGGGAGCCAGCACCAACAGCCCGCCGGGCCGGUAACGCGACGCAGACUGGUGGCAAGAGAUGCAGGGGACUUUGGGCUGCGUGAAGCCGCCCCCUUCGCUUCGCUACACUUAGUGACUCUGAGGGACAUGCAACCCUCCCCGCAUGCUGCUGCUGCUGCUGCACCUACAAUCCUGCCACCCCCAAUGAGAUCUGCCCACCCCUCUUGGCCGCCUUCCCCACGCUCAGGUUUUCCUCACUCUUUCCCUGGGUUCCACGCGCCCGCGUAGCCCGAACUCCGACCCUGAGGCUCCGCGUCCCGGCCCCCAUCGCAGGGGCGCCUCUAGGAACCAGAAUCCCGCAGAUGACUGCACAGACAAGAUCGUGCCCCCAAGUUCGGCGAGCCGGGCGCCCACCGCGCCCCCAGCCCACGCCCCCGGAGUUCCUGCGCCACCCACAGCGGCCCUGAGCUUCAAUCUGCACUUUCAAAACUUCCCAGUUGCCUCCAGAGCCCUGCAGUUGAAGAUCUUGUCUAGCACAUGGUUUUGCUGUUUUCCUCACCCCGAACUCCCUCCUUGGAGGGCCAUCGUUCUCUGUCUCAGAUUCCACCCUCCUUAUCACACAACUAGAGCUUCGGAGGAACGUGAUGGGGCUCCCAACUAAGGAGGGAAAGACCAUCAUAGCUCAGGGAUGAGGCUCCGAGAUCCUCAGAUAACAUUAAUUGUCCUCUGUCUUCUCUUGACUUGGCACAUCCUUGCUUGGAGCAGGGCAGGAGCAGCUGAAAGGGAGGUGGCACCUGGAGGUCUCAGUCAUUUCACUUCUCUGAGCCUCAGUUUUCCCAUAUGCAAAGUGAAGAGGUACACUCCCUCAGGGUUUUGCAUCUUCUUAAUGGCAGAAACCUAGUCAAACAAAAUAUUAUGUAAAUGUUCACUAUAGGCAGGGCGAGGUGGCUCAAACCUGUAAUUCCAGCACUUUUAGAGGCCCAGGAGGCUCUUGAGGUCAGGAGUUCGAGACCAGCCUGACCAACAUGGCAAAAACCUGUCUCUACUAAAUAAUACAAAAAUUAGCUGGGCAUGGUGACACACACCUGUAAUUCCAACUACUCGGUAGGAGGCUGAGGCAGGAGAAUCGCUUGAACACAGGAGGGAGGCGGAGGUUGCAGUGAGCUGAGAUUGCACCACUGCACUCCAUCCUAGGUGACAGAGUGAGACUCUCUCUCAAAAAAAAAACAAGUUUAUAAAGGAAUGUAUAUUGUUCUGAUUGACAUUGAAAUAGGGUCAACUACCCCCGGUCACCAGAGCAGCAGGAACACCUCAGGGGCCACACUUUGGAGGCACUGCCCAGAAAGAUUUCUGGGUCUUUAAAAGUCCCUUCCAGUCCUGGGAAAUUCUAUGUGAAAAUGAUGGUCCCUGCUUGCUAUAAUCCCUACAGGUGACUUAUUAUCUAAGCCAUUUAACACAGGAUUGAAUACUAUGCGACUGUGUGCCAAGCAAGAAGCAGUGUUGUAUGGGACACCCUAGCUGUGUAUAAGGUAUCUGGUAAUAACACAGGAGGCCACAGUGAUAGACUGUGAUAACGGAAGUAAUUCCAUAUCCAGUUUAAGUGUCUUUUCUAGGGAGUAUAAAUCGUUAUCUCCAUUCCAAUAUGGACUGAAAGGUAUCGACUUUUAUCCAUGUGCCAAAAAUUAGAUUGGCUGGUUCCUCUCUUCUACUCCAUACCAGGUCAGGUAUCAUAAUAAGGACUCAGAGUGGUCCAAGCUGCCCAAAUAUCUGUGUCUUCCACUCUGACCUGUCUGGGAACCCCAAAUUUAUAUCCAACUGCUUACUUGACAACUGCAGUUGGUAGCCUAUCAGGCAUCUCAAAUUUGACCUAGCCAAAGCAGAAGUCCUCAUUUUCCCCGUAAAUCUCCUCCCCAGUUUUCCCUGUCUGAAUCAAUGGCAUAAGCAACUACACCAUUGCUCAAAUCAGAACCUUAUGAGUCCUACUGAAACCAGCCAAAGAGUCCCAUAGACAGUUGUUUUUGUUUUUGUUUUUGUUUUUGUUUUUGAGACAGAGUUUGGCUCUUAUUGCCCUCACUGGAGUGCAGUGGCACGAUCUCGGCUCACUGCGACCUCCACCUCCUGAGUUCAAGUGAUUCUCCUGCCGCAGCCUCCCAAGUAGCUGGAAUUACAGGCACGCCACCAUGCCCAGCUAAGUUUUGUAUUUUUAGUAGAUACAGGGUUUCAUCAUGUUGGCCAGGCUGGUCUUGAACUCCCAACUUCAGGUGACCUGCCUGCCUCAGCCUCCCAAAGUGCUGGGAUUAUAGAAGUUGACCCUUUUGCAGUUAAAGCUGGAAACUUACUUGUUUUAUCCGAGUUCCUUCCUCAGGAAAGGACCUUCAGGCCUCUCACAAAAAGUAUCAAAGAACUGAAGCCAUAAAAAGUAUCAAAAGAACUGAAACCAGAUCACUGCACUAGAUGCUGGGCCCCUCAGUCACCAUGAUUGCUUCCUUGCCCCUCCCAUGUUCCUGUUUUCUUACAUAUUGUUACAUUUCUUUCCUGCUAUAUAAACCCUUGGUUUUGGUCAGUCAAGGAGAUGGAUUUGAGACUGCACUCCCAUCUCCUUGGCUGCAGCACCUGAUUAAAGCCUUCUUCCUUGGCAAUACUUGUCAUCUCAGUGAUUGGCUUUCUGUGCACCGAGCAGCAGGACCUAGACCAAACCCCUGGUGUUUCGGUAACAAUACUUGAUUCCUCCCAUAUACAGUCCAUCAGCAAAAUAGCCUCAAAAGUGUAUCCACCAUCCGACUACUUUUUUCCAUGUACACUACUGCAACAUUGUCUUAUAUCUGGACUGUUGCAAUAGCAGUGAACCAGAAGGGAGCUUAACUGGUCCUCUGAAUUCAUUCUUGCCUUAAAUAAAUCUUCCAUAUAGUAACCAAAGUGAUUCCCUGCCAUCAUUUUGAUCAUGAGCUCAUCAAGCAAAUACUAGGCUGGUUGAGAAAGGUGAUAAUGGAUAUUUGAAAAACGAGUUCUAUUUGGGUUUUCUGUUCUUUUGAACGACUACAAGAUUGCUAAAUAUCACAUUUGGUAUCAGACAUCGGGUGACCAAAAACUGAAAGGCAAAAAAAAUCUGAAACCCCAAAUGUCUGCUGUAGAAUUUAUGGCAGUGAAUUCUGCCAUUAAGGCAUUCAGUGUGUUAGGACCACUAUUCCCUGGCUUCCCCACCCUUCAACAAUCAAGACCAGAAACCAAGGAAUUGAGAAGAAUCAGUUGAACAUGACAUUCUUUAGUAUCAAGCUAUGGAAGAAGAUGGAAAACUAUAGCAUUGUAAUAAGACUUGGCAUCUAUAUAAUUAUAAUGAAUUCUAUUAAGGGAUUAAAUACAUUCAUUUAGCAAGAUAAACUUUGAAAGUAACCACAGUUUUUAUAAUGUUAUUUGGGAAUUUCUUCAUUUGAGAAAAUAUAAGUGGCCUCACCCUCUCUCAGUUUCUGAGAGGCCCUGGUUAGACAUUCACUGUAGUGGGUAAUUUAGGCAUAGCAAUACGAAAUUAAACAAUUUUAUGAGAGUACCAUUCACAGUGUAUAAUUGUUGGGGGAGGGGUGGGCAGUGUAUACUUUCUUUGGUAAUACAGUUCCCCCAAGACUUAAUAAGCUAUCUGUUAUUUCCUAGACACAGUUCUCAAAGUGCUUUAUUUCUUUGCCUUAUUUAUUUUCUUCCUAGACCUCGUACUUUCCCCGCCCCUUUCUCUUAACUUAAUGGUGGUUACUUGAGGUCAAAAAAAUGAAUUGGCUUGGGUAGAAAGCUAACACUAUCUCUCAAGAGAGAUUAGAUUAUGCUGUGCUAAUGGAAAAAUCCCAAAACCUUAAUGGCUUAAAAUAACAAAAUUUAUAUCUUUCUCGUGAUACAUAUCCAUUGGAGGUCAACAAACAAGCUCUACUCAUUGUAAUAACUCAGGGACACAGACUAAGAGGGCUACCUUUUGAUACAUGCUUCUACUAUUGGAGAGACAAGGGAAAGAGAGCAUGGUAAAUGCUGGCCCUUAAAACUUCUACCAGACUGGGAAGAUGAUGGUUAGGUUGUUGGCUGCAUUGUUUUUGAAUCUUUCAAAAUCUUCACAUGAAAACACAGAGUAAGCUGGGUGUGAUGGCUUAUGCCUGUAAUCCCAGCACAUCAGGAGGCUGAGGCAGGAGCAUCACUUGAGCCCAGGAGUUCAAGACUAGCCUGGACAACAUAGUGAGACCCCCGUUUGUUAAAAAUAAAUAAAAAUAAGGCUGGGCAUGGUGGCUCACGCCUGUAAUCUGAGCACUUUGGGAGGCCAAGGCAGGUGGAUCACGAGGUCAAGAGAUCGAGACCAUUCUGGCCAACACGGUGAAACCCUGUCUCUACUAAAAAUACAAAAAUUAGCUGGGCAUGGUGGCACAUACCUGUAGUCCCAGCUACUCAGUAGGCUGAGGUGGGAGAAUCACUUGAACCCAGGAGGUGGAGGUUGCAGUGAGCCAAAAUCAUGCCACUGCACUCCAGCCUGGCAACAGAGCAAGACUUGAAUGUCUCACAAAAUAGCAAUAAUUAAUUAAUUAAAAUAAAUAAAUAAAUAAAAAUGAAAAACACAGAGCAACUGUAUGGAAAAAACCAGACCAUCCAAGUGCACUCACUGAAAAACCAGGUGACAGGAUUUCCCUCAAAACAUCAAAAUACAAGCAAAUAGAGACAAACUACUAAUAGCAACAAAAGCUGUGUGGGCGAGCCUCUGCGCAAGAGGGAGCAGGAUACAACAGGGUAUAUGACAUACCUGAGAACCUCCAAGAAUUCACACAGGAUGGGGAAAUGUUUAGCUCCACCCAGCAAAAUUGGAGUCUUCAUGGAAAACUCAGAACAUUCAGUAGAGACCCAGAGAGUCACUCCAUAGUGGAGCUAAACCAGCCCUAGAUAAUAAAGGCUAUUGUAAACCUCAAUACUAAGCUAAAGGAACAAGCCUUGACAUGAUCAACUUGAUCUAUAAGUUAAUUUAACUACCCACCAGAGGAACCAUCACUUUUUAAAGAAAUUCUAUCAAUCUGACACUCAGUAAAAAAAUAUUUUAAAUGCCCACAUCUAAUAAAAGAAUUACUAAGCAUAGGAAGAAGCAGGAAAAUGUGACCCAAAAGAAGCAGAAAAAUCAUUCAAUAGGAACAGAUACAGAAGUGACAGAGAUAAUGGGAUUAUCAGUCAAGGAUUUUAGUUUAAUUUGAUUUUUACAGGUAUUUUUGUACAAAUUCAUGGAGGACAUGAGAAAUUUUGUUGCAUGUAUAUAAUGUGUAUUGUUCAAGUAAUGGCAUUUAGGUAUCCAUCACCCAAGAUCAAUACAUUAUUCUUAAAUAUAGUCACCCUACUCAGCUAUCAGACAUUGAGUUUAUUCUAUCUGUAUGUUUGUACCCUUUAACCCAGUUCUCUUCACCCACCCACCCCAGCUCCCUACUCACCCCUCCCAGUCUCUGUUAUCUAUCUCUCUACUGCCAUAAAAUAAAAUAUUUUAGUUUCCACAUAUAA